Long non-coding RNA from Ornithorhynchus anatinus (platypus), 1009 nucleotides. RefSeq lists it as uncharacterized. The record is from RefSeq and is a predicted model, not a curated record. Lineage: Eukaryota; Metazoa; Chordata; Mammalia; Monotremata; Ornithorhynchidae. The transcript is spliced from 2 exons.
UGAGAGCAUGCGCCCUUCUCCAUGGGAACCGCCAGGAAGUCCGGAGAAGCCUCCAGCUGCACGCUGACCUGCAACACACCUGCAGGCUGUGCCCCUCCACCACCCGGACCCGCCUGAAGCUGGGAAGCCAGCCAAACCGGGGGCCGGGGUCCAGCGGCAGCCGAGGGUGGUCGCGGCGGCCGGAAUCUCCACACGGAUGUCCCAAGCAAAGCCCGCUUGGCUCAGUCAAGCCACUUACUCUACCACCAGCAGCUCCCAGAUCCAGGCCUCAGGGAAGUACUUUCUCACAGUCUCCGCCUGAACCGACGACUCCCAGGAGACUUCGUUCUCCCAGGACAUUUCGGAGUCCAUCUUUUUGAGGGAAUCCAUCGCUUCUCACAGAGGAGAAGGGGGAGCCCACAGUCAGCCCAGGCCUCUUUUCCGAACUGCCCAGCCCAGAUCACUCUCUUCCCCUCUACCCCCCUCCCUCUUCCAAUCACCCCCUCCCCACACCCUGAUUAACUCCUCCUCCCCCCUGCUCAGCACGCUGGCCUGAGGCUUGUCUCAUCUUCUUCAGGUAAAGCAGGGCAGGAGUGGGAAGAAGUAAAACUGGCUGGGGUUGGGGAGGUGGGGAGGAUUCUAAAGGCCUGGCUGGAGGAUUCUCACCCCAAUUCCCAGAAGAUGCUCUUGAAGAGGAGGGAGGGGACAUUCUUUGCCCCAUCCUUCAGCUCCCUGAGGCAGGCUGCUGAUCCCUCCCUCUGGCUGGAUUUGCCAUCUUACACCCCUCAAGUGUCUGCCACGGAUGCUUGCUGGGCCUUCUAGCCUUGAGUCUAAGUCUCUGUCCUGCUUCUGACGUGCUGAGUAUUUCCCUUCCCUGUCUCCUCCGAACCCGACGGAUGGGUGGAUGGGCGGAUGGACCGACCACUCCAAAGUACUGGGUCUGGCCCUGCAUCCACCUUCCUUCCCCUAUUUCAGCCCGAAUCCCCUCUGCAAACUGGAGUCCAGUAAAUUAUUGCCAAAUUUCUACCAA